RNAcentral lists this long non-coding RNA (239 nucleotides) under Capsicum annuum. Its description in RNAcentral is "long non-coding RNA (CANN_LNC021198)". Lineage: Eukaryota; Viridiplantae; Streptophyta; Magnoliopsida; Solanales; Solanaceae. The record is from RNAcentral.
UUUAUUCUAGAUGUACUUCUGGAAUGAUGUUAUCUUCUCCAUUACAUCUUGAACAUUGGUGAUCUGAAUAUUUGUGUCCAAUUAUUUUACAAUAUCUUGUCAGUAGUCCAUCUGAAAUAAAUCCUUUUUUAAUUGCUCUUGCGGUAGAUUAUUUUUCUGGGUUAAGUAAUGUCAUUAUCCAUUGUCUGACAUCUUCCAUAUCUGCUUGUCGUAGCUCUUUUGAAUUAGAGUAAAUCAUU